ACUGAACAUUCAGUUUUACUGCAAAACGUUGGUGAGAUUUCAUUUUCGAUAUUGUAAAAACACAAACUUUAAAUUUUCUGUUAAAGAUAUUAUAUUAUCUUUUGAAUGUAAGGACCCUAAAUUCAUUUUAUUGCCACUAUUAUGACAUUAAUGGGGAAUUUUUCAACUUUUGAUUAUCUAUUCGUGUUUUGAUUCCUUAAAUGAUUACCUGCCCACUAAACAUUAGACGUCUGAUGGACGUGCAGAUCGUGUCUAUAUUGCGUCCGUCGGUCCAUGACCAGUUAUGGACAUUUACACGACGUGCAAACUAGGUCCGAUAUUUGGACGUCUAACCACGACCCCACUUGGACGUCAGUAUGCAGUUCAACAUUUGAACGUCGGACUAGGUAACUUUUUUGGACGUCACGUGGACGUCUAAGACAGUUAGCGCCACUCUGAUUGGCUGAGGCAGUACGUCGUCAUAAGCCAACCAGUAAACGGCACCCUGAUUGGCCGAGGCAACACGCCAAGCUUUUGGCGCGAUUCUUCGAAUUUCAUCAGCUGUCUCUGAUUUCCUCUCUGUGGAAGCAAGUGGCCGUUCGGCUCUGUUCAGCGCACAUCAAGAAUCACCGUUUUCCAGUAAGUUGAAAUUGGAUUUAUGAAAUUUGAUGACACAGAGGAUGAAGCAAAGGACUGCAAAGAAGUGGAGGUGGAGGAUACACAGCAGUUACUCAGGACUUAUUAUCCAUUGUGCAGAAUGUUGUCACAGCCUUUGUACAUUGUCUUCUUUUCUGUAUUCAGUAUAAUUGGUUCUGGUUGGAUUUUACCUCAAAACACAGUUUAGCACUUUAAUUUUUAUUGUUUUAAAUUUCUGUUGUUGUAUAUGUAUGUUUAUUUGUUGUGAUACAGACCCAAACAAGGUGGGUGGUGUAAUUUAUUUUUAUAUUUAUUUAUUUGAAUUUUUCUAUUACUGGUAGUUAUUGGCUAUCACUUUCAUUUAGUUUUGGCAGACAAUCAAAAGUAAAGCAUGUUGGCUUCAACUGAUG
Molecule: long non-coding RNA, 1025 nt
Organism: Toxotes jaculatrix (banded archerfish)
Lineage: Eukaryota; Metazoa; Chordata; Actinopteri; Toxotidae
Exons: 3
Source: RefSeq, a predicted model, not a curated record